Cicer arietinum (chickpea) is the source of this 493-nucleotide non-coding RNA. The record is from RefSeq and is a predicted model, not a curated record. NCBI's taxonomy places the organism in Eukaryota, Viridiplantae, Streptophyta, Magnoliopsida, Fabales, Fabaceae.
UUUAGUUGAAUAUACUAGUAUGAAUUAUAUUUCUUUUUGAAAAAUACCAGUAUGAAUUAUGAUAGCGGAAAAGAAGGGUUUUUGCUUACCAUGAAGCAAAGUAAGGGAAACAUGCAAGUUUGUAGGACAUAAUUAACAUGCAUGGCUCGUUAGAAAAAGUUAAUUGAUGGAGAAAACAGGAAGAGCAAAAAUAGACGAAGUCGGUUCACUAUUACCAAGGCUUCAUGAAGGCUGAUGAAAGCUCAUAUAGUUGUUAGCAAUCCAAUCGUUAUUUUAAUAGACAAGUGUUGUUUGAAAAACAAGAAUCUUGCUUUAUAACUAGAACGAUCUUUGUUUCUAUUUUGAGUAAGUGCUACACCGAGAACAUUUGACAAUUGUUUAUGUUUUUUCUGCUUUGUAUGCAGACUGCCCAGAUGUGCAGUUUCACUGUCUCGUCAUUUAUGUCAUGAUUGUACGUGUUGCUUUAAUCAUCAAUCUAGAGAUUGAUCUUGCU